Molecule: ribosomal RNA, 376 nt
Filed under: uncultured bacterium
Lineage: Bacteria
Description: partial 16S ribosomal RNA
Rfam family: Bacterial small subunit ribosomal RNA
Source: RNAcentral
CCUACGGGUGGCAGCAGUGGGGAAUAUUGCACAAUGGGCGAAAGCCUGAUGCAGCAACGCCGCGUGAGCGAUGAAGGCCCUCGGGUUGUAAAGCUCCUUCCUCAAGGAAGAUAAUGACGGUACGUGAGGAUGAAGCCCCGGCUAACUACGUGCCAGCAGCCGCGGUAAUACGUAGGCGGCUAGCGUUAUCCGGAUUUACUGGGCGUAAAGGGUGCGUAGGUGGUUUCUUAAGUCAGAGGUGAAAGUCUACGGCUCAACCGUAGCAAGCCUUUGAAACUGGGUAACUUGAGUGCACGAGAGGAGAGUGGAAUUCCUAGUGUAGCGGUGAAAUGCGUAGAUAUUAGGAGGAACACCAGUUGCGAAGGCAGCUCUCUGG